AUGGGUGGCACAUUUACUAAAAAUUGGAAUGAUACAGAGAUCAGCAUGGUCCCUGUGCAAGGAUGACAUGCAAAUUCGUGAAGCAUUCCAUAUUUUU
Molecule: small nuclear RNA, 97 nt
Filed under: Choloepus hoffmanni (Hoffmann's two-fingered sloth)
Lineage: Eukaryota; Metazoa; Chordata; Mammalia; Pilosa; Megalonychidae
Source: RNAcentral